Molecule: long non-coding RNA, 3041 nt
Filed under: Astyanax mexicanus (Mexican tetra)
Lineage: Eukaryota; Metazoa; Chordata; Actinopteri; Characiformes; Acestrorhamphidae
Description: lncRNA (ENSAMXG00005003106.1)
Source: RNAcentral
GCUGCUUGCGCUGCUCGCGCUGUUCGCUUUUCGCGCCCUUUUACCUCAGAGCGGAGCGGACCGGCUCGCGCGCUCACGCUCUAUCAGCACCGCUCGGCAGCUCGCUCUCGUUUCCUCUCAGGAGCGUUUUAACCUAAACCCGCGGAGCAGCGAAGGCUGGCACUCGGCUGCCCGGCACCUCCUCCAGCGGCGGAUGGCAGCGGCAGUGCGUGAGAGGCUCCCCGGAGGGUCUGCGCUUCUCUCCGCCGCUCUCCCCGCUCGCCUCUCCGCCCGGACCGAACGGCGGCUCCUCUGAGCCUCAGUCACUCUCUCAGUUCUGUGGACGGUUUACGGUUUAACGGGCUUUUCUGCGUUUCUCACGUUGGGAGAAAAAGGUUGCCCAGACUGGGAUAAGCAGCGUUGGCCAGGCCUAUCUCCUCCUCUUCCUUCUCCUCAACUUCCUCCUGUCCUCUGCUCCCUGCCUCAGCCCUGCCUCGCUCGUGGUCAACGCGUUCCUCCGGCUGCCGCCCCAGCGCUUCCUCGGACACCAGGAACCUGCCGCCACGUCGAUCACGUCUUCACAGCUGGCUGCGGGGCGGCCCUCGUGGCCGAGAUGCCACUGUGUGCCCUGCCAGUCGGCGGUGGAUCCUGAGGGGCAGGAGGUGCCCACCGAGUGCAGGGGGCAGAACGCUAAGCACUGCGACUACGAAAUGAACCUGUGCUGGAACGAGAUCAAGCGCAAAUCCCACAACAUCAGGGUGCGACUGGAGGCCUUCUCAGACAACAGCGGCAAGCUGCAGCUCUCCCUGCAGGAAAUCAUCGAAUGGCUGACGGCCAAAGACGAGGAGCUGUCCGAGCAGCUGCCCAUAGGGGGCGACGUGGGGGCGGUGCAGCACCAGCGGGAGUUCCAUCAGGCCUUCAUGGAGGAUGUAAAGUCCAGGGGACCAUUCAUCUACUCGGUGUUGGAGUCUGCCCAGGCCUUCCUGGCCCAGCAUCCUUUCCAGGAGCCUGAGGAGACGCUGCCAGAUGGCAAAGAGGUGUCGCCGAGGCGGCGAAUGUUGAACGUGAGCCGCUCGGUGUGGAAGCAGGCCAACGUGGCCAGCGAUCUGUGGGAGAAGCUGACGGCACGCUGUGUGGACCGGCACCGGCACAUGGAGCGUACACUGGAGAGGCUGCUGCAGGUCCAGGCAGCGAUGGAGGAGCUGGCUGGAGCUCUGGAGCAGGCUGAAGGAGUGAGGGAUGCCUGGGAACCUGUGGGAGAUCUCUUCAUCGACUCACUGCAGGACCACAUAGAUGCCACCAAGCUGUUUAAGGAGGAGUUGUCUCAAGUCAAGGAGGGCAUGAAGCACAUCAAUGACCUCGCCCACCAGCUAGCCAUCUCCGACGUGCACUUGUCUAUGGAGAACGCCCGCGCCCUGGAGCAUCUCAACAGCAGAUGGAAGCUGCUGCAGGGUUCCAUUGAAGAGCGCCUGAAGCAGCUGCAGGAUGCCCACAGAGAUUUUGGCCCCGGAUCACAGCACUUUCUCUCCAGUAAGAGAGCUAUCACGCUCGGGCUUGCACCGGGCCGCCCGCUCCAUCAGGCCCAGACCACCUGCUGGGAUCAUCCAAAGAUGACAGAAUUGUACCAGGCUCUGGCGGACCUGAACAAUAUCAAGUUCUCUGCGUACCGGACGGCGAUGAAGCUGCGGCGAGUGCAGAAAGCUCUGAGAUUGGACCUGCUGAAGCUGACCAGUGUGACGGACGUGUUCCGGGAGCAGGAGCUGCAGCACGGCGAGUACGUGAUGGACGUGGUGGAGGUGAUCCAUGCCCUGACCGCUCUGUAUGAAAGACUGGAGGAGGAGAGAUCUGUACUCAUCAACAUCCCUCUCUGUGUGGACAUGUGCCUCAACUGGCUGCUCAACGUCUAUGACAGCGGCCGGAACGGUAAGAUGCGGGUGCUCUCCUUCAAGACGGGGGUGGUGAGCCUAUGCAAUGCAGAUGUGCAGGAGAAAUACAGAUGUGAACAGGUGUGUGGUCCAAACGGACUGACGGAUCAGAAGCACCUCAGUCUGCUGCUCCAUGAAGUUAUUCAGAUCCCUCGCCAGCUGGGUGAGGUAGCAGCCUUCGGGGGGAGCAACGUGGAGCCCAGCGUCCGGAGCUGCUUCCGCAUGGCCCCGGGGAAACCAGCUAUCGAGGUUUCUCACUUUCUGGAGUGGAUGAGUUUGGAGCCGCAGUCGGUGGUGUGGUUGCCUGUCCUGCACCGCGUGACGGCGGCCGAAUCUGCCAAGCACCAGGCGCGCUGCUACAUCUGUAAACAAUGCCCCAUCAAGGGCUUCAGGUACCGAAGUCUGAAACAGUUUAACGUAGACAUCUGCCAGAUGUGUUUCCUGACCGGACGAACAACCAAAGGCAAAAGGCUACACUACCCCAUAAUGGAGUACUACACCCCGAGCUAUAUAUUUACAAAUGGAGAAAGCAUGAAACAGCUGGCAGAAAUGGAAAGCCAGAGUUGCUCCUUCUUCACUGACAGCCUCUCUCCUGAUGAAAGUCUGGAUGAAGAUCAGUACCUCCUGCGUCACUCCAGCCCCGCCCUGGAACAGGACUCUCCGCCCGGGCCACACCUCCUCGCCCACCUCGACUGCCACAACAAGGAGGAGCUGCAGCGAACGCUGGCACGGCUGGAGAACGAGAACAGGAUGCUGCAGGGCGAGUACCGGCGGCUGAAGUGGAAGCACGAGGAGGCGGCGGCAGCUCCGCAGCUGGUGGAGGGCGGCGCGGGAUCGCCGGCGGGUCAGCAGGACGAGGAGCUCCUGGCCGAAGCUCGAGUCCUGCGGCAGCACAAGACCCGCCUGGAGACCCGCAUGCAGAUCCUGGAGGACCACAACAAGCAGCUGGAGUCGCAGCUCUGCCGGCUCCGGGAGCUGCUGCUGCAGGUGGGUGCUUAUCGCUUUCGUUUGCGAUAUUUAAUCAAUCAAUCAAUAAAUCAACCUUUAUUUCCACUCGAUAAAUACAUUGAGGAUUUAAUUAAGAAGAAAUUAAAUAAUUCAAAAUAUAAUGAGACAGGCUACAAUGUAAAACAAUAA